CCCAUCGGCCUGCUACACGUCCUGCAAAAUCCCCAAACUCUGAAUAUAAAGGAUCACCGCCUCGUCUGUUGUUGAUGACAUCAGACGGUAUUUAAGGAUCUGGAUGAGUCUCUCAGUCUCUGGACAUCGCU
Perca flavescens (yellow perch) is the source of this 131-nucleotide long non-coding RNA. RefSeq lists it as uncharacterized. The transcript is spliced from 2 exons. The record is from RefSeq and is a predicted model, not a curated record. NCBI's taxonomy places the organism in Eukaryota, Metazoa, Chordata, Actinopteri, Perciformes, Percidae.